This 382-nucleotide long non-coding RNA is filed under the name Populus trichocarpa (black cottonwood). Its description in RNAcentral is "long non-coding RNA (PTRI_LNC001961)". Lineage: Eukaryota; Viridiplantae; Streptophyta; Magnoliopsida; Malpighiales; Salicaceae. The record is from RNAcentral.
AAAAAAAAACACUUUAUAACAUAAAAAUAAAAAUAUUAAUUAAUAAUAGUUGUUAAGAACAUGGGUGGGAUUUCUGUAAGUCGUCCAAUUAAUAAGCAAAUAUGAUAUUCAGAAAUGAUUCAAAAAAAGAAAGAACGCUCCAAACAACACUCAAAGGAGAGUGCGAUGGACGCUGCUCUCCAUUUCCCAAAGCCCCCAGCCAGCCAAGGAGAUAUAUUAAAGAGACAGUAACUUGUGCAAAUCACUGCUACUAAUCAUGACGCGUGUCCAUUCGCCAGCUGUAUCCCAAGAACCCAACCGCUUACCUCGAACCAACGGUGCCCAUAACUCCUCUUCUUCUCCAACCCCCAACCGCCUCUACCAGUCACCCUCCCACUCCCUU